Molecule: long non-coding RNA, 897 nt
Filed under: Ananas comosus (pineapple)
Lineage: Eukaryota; Viridiplantae; Streptophyta; Magnoliopsida; Poales; Bromeliaceae
Description: long non-coding RNA (ACOM_LNC028604)
Source: RNAcentral
UAUAUACUUAUAUUUAUUAUAUAGAACUAAGCUGGAAUACUAUUAAUAGCACAAAUAAUUUAGUGCUAUUAAAUUUUCUAUCUUUAGAUUAAAAGAUAUGCGGUUAGGAUGAUGUGGGCUCCCUAAGGUUGAGUGGGUGGUUAGUUGAAUAAUAUAAUUGAACGGAUUAAAAUGAUAAAAGAGGUAAAUUUAACGACAGAAAACUUGAUAGCACCAAAUAUUUCGUGCUGUCGAUAGUAUCCCAGCCGGACUCUAUUAUAUAUGUAUAUAAAAUGUGGCAUGUGUUGUAAUGUCAUGGGGGUGGGUGUAGAUGUAUAUAGGUGUAUAGGUGUACAGUGGGAGGAGGUGGGAUGUGGCAGGGAUUAAACCCCCUUGCCUCCAUUUUGGACUGUUAAGGAUGUCAUGUCUUGUCAUGACCCCAUGGGGGAUGGGGCCCAUGCCCAUCAUGGGUCACCAUUUUACCCACCCUAUUGAUGGGAUCCACUUUUUAUGCAACAGUCCACAAUGAUGGCUAUUGGUAAAUAUAUAUAUAUAUAUAUAUAUAUAUAUAUAUAUAUUAUUAUAUAUAUAUAUAUUAAUAUAUAUAUAUAUUUCUCUCCACACAAAAAAAAAAAAUAAAAAUAUAUAUUUUUUGGUUACCCUUAAAUUACAAAUAGCAUUAUAUUUUAGUUUUCAAACUUUAAUUUGUUAUUUUUUUUGACUUGAGCUUUCUCGGUUGUUGUAAUUAAACUCCACAAUCUAAUUCAGUUAGCUAAAUAGUGAUAAAUUGUUGAAAUCAAAGUGAUAUCGCAUCAUAAUUUUUAUCGCAUUAUCCAUUAUAAUACUUUUGCAUUAAUUCUAUUUCAAUAAUAGUUUGUUAAUACUUAGCCAUUUAAAUUGACUUGUAGGCUUGAUUGG